Molecule: ribosomal RNA, 208 nt
Filed under: uncultured bacterium
Lineage: Bacteria
Description: partial 16S ribosomal RNA
Rfam family: Bacterial small subunit ribosomal RNA
Source: RNAcentral
UGCGUAGGCGGUUAGGCAAGUUGGUAGCGUAAUUCCGGGGCUCAACUCCGGAACUACUACCAAAACUGUUUAGCUUGAGUGUGGCAGGGGUACGUGGAAUUCCUAGUGUAGCGGUGGAAUGCGUAGAUAUUAGGAGGAACACCGGAGGCGAAAGCGACGUACUGGGCCAUAACUGACGCUGAGGCACGAAAGCGUGGGGAGCAAACAG